GAUGAACGCUGGCGGCGUGCUUAACACAUGCAAGUCGAACGAAGCACUUUAUUUGAUUUCCUUCGGGACUGAUUAUUUUGUGACUGAGUGGCGGACGGGUGAGUAACGCGUGGGUAACCUGCCUUGUACAGGGGGAUAACAGUUGGAAACGGCUGCUAAUACCGCAUAAGCGCACAGCAUCGCAUGAUGCAGUGUGAAAAACUCCGGUGGUAUAAGAUGGACCCGCGUUGGAUUAGCUAGUUGGUGAGGUAACGGCCCACCAAGGCGACGAUCCAUAGCCGACGUGUGAGGGUGACCGGCCACAUUGGGAGUGAGACACGGCGCAGAAUCCUACGGGAUGCAGCAGUGGGGAAUAUUGCACAAUGGGGGAAGGCCUGAUGCAGCGACGCCGCGUGAGCGAAGAAGUGUUUCAGUAUGUAAAGCUCUAUCAGCAGGGAAGAUAAUGACGGUACCUGAAUAAGAAGCACCGGCUAAAUACGUG
Molecule: ribosomal RNA, 481 nt
Filed under: uncultured bacterium
Lineage: Bacteria
Description: partial 16S ribosomal RNA
Rfam family: Bacterial small subunit ribosomal RNA
Source: RNAcentral